Molecule: ribosomal RNA, 253 nt
Filed under: uncultured prokaryote
Description: partial 16S ribosomal RNA
Rfam family: Bacterial small subunit ribosomal RNA
Source: RNAcentral
UACGAAGGGGGCUAGCGUUGUUCGGAAUCACUGGGCGUAAAGCGCACGUAGGCGGAUUUGUCAGUCAGGGGUGAAAUCCCGGAGCUCAACUCCGGAACUGCCUUUGAUACAGCAAAUCUCGAGCCCGGAAGAGGUGGGUGGAAUUCCUAGUGUAGAGGUGAAAUUCGUAGAUAUUAGGAAGAACACCAGUGGCGAAGGCGGCCCACUGGUCCGAGGCUGACGCUGAGGUGCGAAAGCGUGGGGAGCAAACAGG